RNAcentral lists this ribosomal RNA (500 nucleotides) under uncultured bacterium. Its description in RNAcentral is "bacterial SSU rRNA". It matches the Rfam family "Bacterial small subunit ribosomal RNA", at positions 29 to 523 of the family's 1533-position model. The record is from RNAcentral.
AACGAACGCUGGCGGCGCGCCUAAUACAUGCAAGUCGAGCGAGAAGGUGUAGCAAUACACUUGUAAAGCGGCGAACGGGUGAGGAAUGCAUGGGUAACCUACCCUCGAGUGGGGAAUAACUAGCCGAAAGGUUAGCUAAUACCGCAUACGUUUCCGGAACUCCGGUUUCGGAAAGAAAGCAAUACCGUGGGUAUUGCGCUCCUGGAUGGGCUCAUGUCCUAUCAGCUUGUUGGUGAGGUAACGGCUCACCAAGGCUUCGACGGGUAGCUGGUCUGAGAGGACGAUCAGCCACACUGGCACUGCGACACGGGCCAGACUCCUACGGGAGGCAGCAGUAAGGAAUAUUGCGCAAUGGACGAAAGUCUGACGCAGCGACGCCGCGUGGGGGAUGAAGGUCUUCGGAUUGUAAACCCUUUCGGGAGGGAAGAUGGAGUGGGUAACCACUUGGACGGUACCUCCAGAAGCAGCCACGGCUAACUUCGUGCCAGCAGCCGCGGUAA